This 481-nucleotide long non-coding RNA is filed under the name Mytilus galloprovincialis (Mediterranean mussel). The record is from RNAcentral. Lineage: Eukaryota; Metazoa; Mollusca; Bivalvia; Mytilida; Mytilidae.
GUAUAUUUUUUUUGAUUGCAUAUAUUAAAUCUAUAUGGCUAUUCAAAAUGAAAAGGAACUGAAUAACAAUAUAAGACAAUCUAAUCUAUAUCUAUAUCUAUAAAUGAAUAUACUGUCUAUCCUAUAUUUACAUAUGAAUACUGACCUCAUUAAUUCAAAGUGAUUUAAGGGGUGUGUGUGGAUUAUACAUCAACAAUAACAACUCAUUACUUGGUGGUGGACUAAGUGGGGGAACCAUGUUCUUUGAUUGGAAAUUGUUUUUGCCAUAAAAUCAUCCCAACUCUUCAUUUUAGGAAAGCUGUUAAUAAAAGGAAAGGAGACUACCAAAGAUCUGCCUUCAAAAACCUAUUCUUUAAAUGACAAAAAUAAACAGAUUAAAUACAUAGAACCACUUAAGAGGUUGAAUAGUUCAAGAUUUGGGACAAGGACAAUUACAAGAUGGGAUUCAACACUUUUCCAUUUUCUUCUGAUAACAUUAUCA